AGAGUUGAUCAUGGCUCAGGAUGAACGCUAGCUACAGGCUUAACACAUGCAAGUCGAGGGGCAUCAUGGAAGUAGCUUGCUACUUCUGAUGGCGACCGGCGAAUGGGUGAGUAACGCGUAUCCAACCUGGCCUAUGCUCUGGGAUAGCCCUUAGAAAUGAGGAUUAAUACGAGAUGGUUUCCUUUGAUCGCCUGAGAUUAGGAGUAAAGACUUGUCGGCACAGGAUGGGGAUGCGUUCCAUUAGAUAGUUGGCGGGGUAACGGCCCACCAAGUCGAUGAUGGAUAGGGGUUCUGAGAGGAAGGUCCCCCACAUUGGUACUGAGACACGGACCAAACUCCUACGGGAGGCAGCAGUGAGGAAUAUUGGUCAAUGGGCGGAAGCCUGAACCAGCCAAAGUAGCGUGAAGGAAGACGGCCCUACGGGUUGUAAACUUCUUUUGUCGGGGAAUAACCGUCGGCACGUGUGCCGACCUGCAUGUACCCGGUGAAUAAGGACCGGCUAAUUCCGUGCCAGCAGCUGC
This 521-nucleotide ribosomal RNA is filed under the name uncultured bacterium. RNAcentral describes it as "bacterial SSU rRNA". It matches the Rfam family "Bacterial small subunit ribosomal RNA", at positions 8 to 518 of the family's 1533-position model. The record is from RNAcentral.